GACGAACGCUGGCGGCGUGCCUAAUACAUGCAAGUAGAACGCUGAGGAGAGGAGCUUGCUCUUCUUGGAUGAGUUGCGAACGGGUGAGUAACGCGUAGGUAACCUGCCUUGUAGCGGGGGAUAACUAUUGGAAACGAUAGCUAAUACCGCAUAACAAUGGAUGACACAUGUCAUUUAUUUGAAAGGGGCAAUUGCUCCACUACAAGAUGGACCUGCGUUGUAUUAGCUAGUAGGUGAGGUAAUGGCUCACCUAGGCGACGAUACAUAGCCGACCUGAGAGGGUGAUCGGCCACACUGGGACUGAGACACGGCCCAGACUCCUACGGGAGGCAGCAGUAGGGAAUCUUCGGCAAUAGGGGCAACCCUGACCGAGCAACGCCGCGUGAGUGAAGAAGGUUUUCGGAUCGUAAAGCUCUGUUGUAAGUCAAGAACGGGUGUGAGAGUGGAAAGUUCACACUGUGACGGUAGCUUACCAGAAAGGGACGGCUAACUACGUG
This 497-nucleotide ribosomal RNA is filed under the name uncultured bacterium. RNAcentral describes it as "partial 16S ribosomal RNA". It matches the Rfam family "Bacterial small subunit ribosomal RNA", at positions 28 to 507 of the family's 1533-position model. The record is from RNAcentral.